This 392-nucleotide long non-coding RNA is filed under the name Elaeis guineensis (African oil palm). RNAcentral's name for it is "long non-coding RNA (EGUI_LNC061644)". Lineage: Eukaryota; Viridiplantae; Streptophyta; Magnoliopsida; Arecales; Arecaceae. The record is from RNAcentral.
ACACCUAAGAAAUAAAGCUGAAGUACUCAAUGAUAAAUUGGUCUGUAUCAUACAUAAAUAUUUAGUAAAUGUAACCUUUGCAUCCUGCUAUUGCUUCACACUUGCAAGACAGCUCUUGUAAUUUCUUUUUCAAUAUCCAUCUUUAUCGCAAUUGAAAUAGGUACCUUUGAUGGAGACAUUCUUUACCUUUUUCUCCUCGAAAAUGCUAUCCAUAAACUAAGAGAAAGAAUUAGAAAGUGAUUGCAGGAUCAAAUCCUGACUCAACUCACCAUCCAUGACAAAACCAAACUGACCUAAUCGCAUGAUUAAGUCAAUCAGGAUACACUUGACAAACGUAUUGUCAUCCCACCAUAUCUUAUAUGCGAUUCUUUUCUCCUUUAUAGCAUCAUUCU